This 439-nucleotide ribosomal RNA is filed under the name uncultured bacterium. Its description in RNAcentral is "partial 16S ribosomal RNA". It matches the Rfam family "Bacterial small subunit ribosomal RNA", at positions 339 to 795 of the family's 1533-position model. The record is from RNAcentral.
CUACGGGUCGCUGCAGUGGGGAAUAUUGCACAAUGGAGGAAACUCUGAUGCAGCAACGCCGCGUGGAGGAUGACACUUUUCGGAGCGUAAACUCCUUUUAUAUAGGAAGAAGAUGACGGUACUAUAUGAAUAAGCGCCGGCUAACUCCGUGCCAGCAGCCGCGGUAAUACGGAGGGCGCAAGCGUUACUCGGAAUCACUGGGCGUAAAGAGCAUGUAGGCGGAUUAAAAAGUCAGAAGUGAAAUCCUAUAGCUUAACUAUAGAGCUGCUUCUGAAACUCUUAAUCUAGAAUAUGGGAGAGGUAGAUGGAAUUUCUGGUGUAGGGGUAAAAUCCGUAGAGAUCAGAAGGAAUACCGAUUGCGAAGGCGAUCUACUAGAACAUUAUUGACGCUGAGACGCGAAAGCGUGGGGAGCAAACAGGAUUAGAUACCCUGGUAGUC